Molecule: ribosomal RNA, 465 nt
Filed under: uncultured bacterium
Lineage: Bacteria
Description: partial 16S ribosomal RNA
Rfam family: Bacterial small subunit ribosomal RNA
Source: RNAcentral
GAUGAACGCUGGCGGCGUGCUUAACACAUGCAAGUCGAACGGAAAGGCCCAAGCUUGCUUGGGUACUCGAGUGGCGAACGGGUGAGUAACACGUGUGUGAUCUGCCCUGCACUUCGGGAUAAGCCUGGGAAACUGGGUCUAAUACCGGAUAGGACCACAUUUUGGAUGGUGUGGUGGAAAGUUUUUCGGUGUGGGAUGGGCUCGCGGCCUAUCAGCUUGUUGGUGGGGUAAUGGCCUACCAAGGCGUCGACGGGUAGCCGGCCUGAGAAGGUGUACGGCCACAUUGGGACUGAGAGACGGACCAGACGCCUACGGGAGGCAGCAGUGGGGAAUAUUGCACAAUGGGCGCAAGCCUGAUGCAGCGACGCCGCGUGGGGGAUGACGGCCUUCGGGUUGUAAACUCCUUUCGCUAGGGACGAAGCGCAAGUGACGGUACCUGGAGAAGAAGCACCGGCUAACUACGUG